AAUGGGGGAAACCCUGACGCAGCAACGCCGCGUGAGUGAUGAAGGCCUUCGGGUUGUAAAGCUCUUUUAGUUGGGACGAAAAAAAUGACGGUACCAACAGAAAAAGCACCGGCUAACUCUGUGCCAGCAGCCGCGGUAAUACAGAGGGUGCAAGCGUUAUUCGGAUUUACUGGGCGUAAAGAGCGUGUAGGUGGCUCGAUAAGUCUGAUGUGAAAGCCCUGGGCUCAACCCAGGAAGUGCAUUGGAUACUGUCAAGCUAGAGGACAGGAGGGGAGAGCGGAAUUCCAGGUGUAGAGGUGAAAUUCGUAGAUAUCUGGAGGAACAACGGUGGCGAAGGCGGCUCUCUGGACUGUUUCUGACACUAAGGCGCGAAAGCGUGGGGAGCAAA
This 388-nucleotide ribosomal RNA is filed under the name uncultured bacterium. RNAcentral describes it as "bacterial SSU rRNA". It matches the Rfam family "Bacterial small subunit ribosomal RNA", at positions 370 to 772 of the family's 1533-position model. The record is from RNAcentral.